ACCCUUCCCUGUUCCUUCUGCCCUUCCUCUUGGGGAGUUUAUCUGUCUCUGAUGAGAAACUCCCCAAGAGGAAGGGCAGAAGGAACAGGGAAGGGU
This is a non-coding RNA of Podarcis lilfordi (Lilford's wall lizard), 96 nucleotides long. NCBI's taxonomy places the organism in Eukaryota, Metazoa, Chordata, Lepidosauria, Squamata, Lacertidae. The record is from the annotation of a GenBank genome assembly.